This 433-nucleotide ribosomal RNA is filed under the name uncultured bacterium. RNAcentral's name for it is "partial 16S ribosomal RNA". It matches the Rfam family "Bacterial small subunit ribosomal RNA", at positions 29 to 507 of the family's 1533-position model. The record is from RNAcentral.
AACGAACGCUGGCGGCAUGCCUAACACAUGCAAGUCGAACGAGAACUUCGGGUCUAGUGGCGCACGGAUGCGUAACGCGUGGGAAUCUGCCCUUGGGUUCGGAAUAACAGUUGGAAACGACUGCUAAUACCGGAUGAUGACGUAAGUCCAAAGAUUUAUCGCCCAAGGAUGAGCCCGCUUAGGAUUAGCUAGUUGGUGAGGUAAAGGCUCACCAAGGCGACGAUCCUUAGCUGGUCUGAGAGGAUGAUCAGCCACACUGGGACUGAGACACGGCCCAGACUCCUACGGGAGGCAGCAGUGGGGAAUACUGGACAACGGGCGAAAGCCUGAUCCAGCUAGGCCGCGUGAGUGAUGAAGGCCUGAGAGUUGUAAAGCUCUUUUACCCGGGAUGAUAAUGACAGUACCGGGAGAAUAAGCACCGGCUAACUCCGUG